AUCUUGGACAAUGGGCGAAAGCCUGAUCCAGCCAUGCCGCGUGAGUGAUGAAGGCCUUAGGGUUGUAAAGCUCUUUCGCCAGGGAAGAUAAUGACGGUACCUGGAUAAGAAGCCCCGGCUAACUUCGUGCCAGCAGCCGCGGUAAUACGAAGGGGGCUAGCGUUGUUCGGAAUUACUGGGCGUAAAGCGCGCGCAGGCGGUCCUGCAAGUCUGAAGUGAAAUCUCGUCGCUCAACGACGGGGCUGCUUUGGAAACUGCGGGUCUGGAGAUCGGUAGAGGCUGGUAGAAUUGCAGGUGUAGCGGUGGAAUGCGUAGAGAUCUGCAAGAAUACCCGUGGCGAAGGCGGCCAGCUGGGCCGAAUCUGACGCUGAGGCGCGAAAGCGUGGGGAGCAAACGGG
Molecule: ribosomal RNA, 398 nt
Filed under: uncultured bacterium
Lineage: Bacteria
Description: bacterial SSU rRNA
Rfam family: Bacterial small subunit ribosomal RNA
Source: RNAcentral